GAUUUCCGGUUUGAUCCUGCCGGACCUGACUGCUAUCGGAUUGAUACAAAGCCAUGCGAGUCAUUGUAGCAAUACAAGGCAGACGGCUCAGUAACGCGUAGUCAACCUAACCUAUGGACGGGAAUAACCUCGGGAAACUGAGUAUAAUGCCCGAUAGAACACUAUACCUGGAAUGGUUUGUGUUCCAAAUGAUUUAUCGCCGUAGGAUGGGACUGCGGCCUAUCAGUUUGUUGGUGAGGUAAUGGCCCACCAAGACUAUUACAGGUACGGGCUCUGAGAGGAGUAGCCCGGAGAUGGGUACUGAGACACGGACCCAGGCCCUAUGGGGCGCAGCAGGCGAGAAAACUUUGCAAUGUGCGAAAGCACGACAAGGUUAAUCCGAGUGGUUUCUGCUAAAGAAACCUUUUGUCGGUCCUAGAAACACUGAUGAAUAAGGGGUGGGCAAGUUCUGGUGUCAGCCGCCGCGGUAAAACCAGCACCUCAAGUGGUCAGGAUGAUUAUUGGGCCUAAAGCAUCCGUAGCCGGCUCUGUAAGUUUUCGGUUAAAUCUGUACGCUCAACGUACAGGCUGCCGGGAAUACUGCAAAGCUAGGGAGUGGGAGAGGUAGACGGUACUCGGUAGGAAGGGGUAAAAUCCUUUGAUCUAUUGAUGACCACCUGUGGCGAAGGCGGUCUACCAGAACACGUCCGACGGUGAGGGAUGAAAGCUGGGGGAGCAAACCGGAUUAGAUACCCGGGUAGUCCCAGCUGUAAACCAUGCAAACUCAGUGAUGCAUUGGCUUGUGGCCAAUGCAGUGCUGCA
This 801-nucleotide ribosomal RNA is filed under the name uncultured Candidatus Nitrosopumilus sp. RNAcentral's name for it is "bacterial SSU rRNA". It matches the Rfam family "Archaeal small subunit ribosomal RNA", at positions 1 to 805 of the family's 1478-position model. Lineage: Archaea; Thermoproteati; Nitrososphaerota; Nitrososphaeria; Nitrosopumilales; Nitrosopumilaceae. The record is from RNAcentral.